This is a long non-coding RNA of Onychostoma macrolepis, 472 nucleotides long. RefSeq lists it as uncharacterized. The record is from RefSeq and is a predicted model, not a curated record. NCBI's taxonomy places the organism in Eukaryota, Metazoa, Chordata, Actinopteri, Cypriniformes, Cyprinidae. The transcript is spliced from 3 exons.
UUUACUUAUCUAUAUAAAUAAUGUACUAUUGUAAAUAUACGUGCACCUAAAAUGCAUCAAGAGAGAGAUUGUUUCUCCCAGCCAAGGUUUCUUCAUCGUUUAUAGGCAGUUUUUUGUCGAUAUUUUGUUACUCCUUCAGAAAAAGAGUGUAUUCAUGAGACUUCAGUUUGGCAUAGUAAUCGGAGAACUUAUUGAAGAGGAUGGAGAUUGGAAGGCCAUUCAGAAUGAUCCCAAAGGAAAUGCAGCCAAAGGCAAAUAUCCGCCCCAAAAGAGUCUCCGGAUACAUGUCACCAUAGCCUACAGUAGAGAUGCUAACCUGGAACGAGAAAUUAAUGAUGCCCACCACCAAGAAUGUGGAAUACUGGUGAACUUGGUUUGAGGGACGUCGUGUUCAACGGUAUAAACCAUGGCGGAGAAUGUGAAGAUCCCCAUGGCAAUAAAGAGGAAGAGACAUCCCACCUGAUGGUAGCAC